This 459-nucleotide ribosomal RNA is filed under the name uncultured Geobacillus sp. Its description in RNAcentral is "bacterial SSU rRNA". It matches the Rfam family "Bacterial small subunit ribosomal RNA", at positions 925 to 1382 of the family's 1533-position model. Lineage: Bacteria; Bacillati; Bacillota; Bacilli; Caryophanales; Anoxybacillaceae. The record is from RNAcentral.
ACAAGCGGUGGAGCAUGUGGUUUAAUUCGAAGCAACGCGAAGAACCUUACCAGGUCUUGACAUCCCCUGACAACCCAAGAGAUUGGGCGUUCCCCUCGGGGGGACAGGGUGACAGGUGGUGCAUGGUUGUCGUCAGCUCGUGUCGUGAGAUGUUGGGUUAAGUCCCGCAACGAGCGCAACCCUCGCCUCUAGUUGCCAGCAUUCGGUUGGGCACUCUAGAGGGACUGCCGGCGACAAGUCGGAGGAAGGUGGGGGAUGACGUCAAAUCAUCAUGCCCCUUAUGACCUGGGCUACACACGUGCUACAAUGGGCGGUACAAAGGGCUGCGAACCCGCGAGGGGGAGCCAAUCCCAUAAAGCCAUUCGUAGUCCGGAUCGCAGUCUGCAACUCGACUGCGUGAAGUCGGAAUCGCUAGUAAUCGUGGAUCAGAAUGUCACGGUGAAUACGUUCCCGGGUCUU